AGCGACCCCUCGCGUGGUGUCACCUCACUGAACUCCCCCAGGGCCUGACGGCAGCAAGGGCAGGUGGGCUCUGGCAGGUGCGCGAGGGGUCUUCGCA
This 97-nucleotide signal recognition particle RNA is filed under the name Brachybacterium endophyticum. RNAcentral describes it as "Bacterial small signal recognition particle RNA". It matches the Rfam family "Bacterial small signal recognition particle RNA". Rfam says of the family: The signal recognition particle (SRP) is a universally conserved ribonucleoprotein involved in the co-translational targeting of proteins to membranes. Archaeal SRP consists of a 7S RNA and homologues of the eukaryotic SRP19 and SRP54 proteins. Lineage: Bacteria; Bacillati; Actinomycetota; Actinomycetes; Micrococcales; Dermabacteraceae. The record is from Rfam by way of RNAcentral.